RNAcentral lists this ribosomal RNA (620 nucleotides) under Dasylirion serratifolium. RNAcentral's name for it is "eukaryotic LSU rRNA". The stretch from base 261 to 416 matches the Rfam family "5.8S ribosomal RNA". The record is from RNAcentral. Lineage: Eukaryota; Viridiplantae; Streptophyta; Magnoliopsida; Asparagales; Asparagaceae.
AAGGAUCAUUGUCGAGACCCGAAUGGACGAUCGUGAACCCGUCGAUGCUCCGGCGGGUGGCAGAGGGAGGGCGGCAUCCGCUCGCUCGACCCUGCCACCCAGGAUGCCCCAUGGCCGCCCCCGCCCCGCCUUGCGACGGGACGGGUGGCGGGAACAAAUACCCGGCGCGGUGGGCGCCAAGGAGUAGUGAUGUCGGAGACCGUCGCGUGCCGGUUCCGCGCGCGCGGCGUGACCCUUCCAUACAUAUGUUAAACUUUUACGACUCUCGGCAACGGAUAUCUUGGCUCUCGCAUCGAUGAAGAACGUAGCGAAAUGCGAUACUUGGUGUGAAUUGCAGAAUCCCGUGAACCAUCGAGUCUUUGAACGCAAGUUGCGCCCGAGGCCAUCCGGCCGAGGGCACGCCUGCCUGGGCGUCAUGCCUCACGUCGCUCCGUGCACCCCGCCCCCUGGAUCGGGGAGGUGGCAGGCGCGGAUGCGGAGACUGGCCCCCCGUGCCUCGCGGUGCGGCGGGCUGAAGUGCGGGCUGCCGGUCGGGACGGAUGCGGCGAGUGGUGGACGGACACGUACGGCGCUCAGCGUCGCUUUUGCCCCCCGAUCCCAGUGGCCCAUGCAAGGAACCC